Non-coding RNA from Taeniopygia guttata (zebra finch), 2468 nucleotides. The record is from RefSeq and is a predicted model, not a curated record. Lineage: Eukaryota; Metazoa; Chordata; Aves; Passeriformes; Estrildidae.
AAGUAUUCAGCCCGGGCACAUGCAGUGGCACUCACCUCCCUGCUGUCUCUGGCCGCUGGUUUGUCUGGGACAGGAUUUCCCGAAGUGCUCUCACCCAGCCCUACUCUCUGAGGACAGUCCUACCCGAAUACUGGAACUCACAGGUGGAAAGAGUAAAGUGAUCUGCUGGAAUUACACUGAGAGGGAGAUGGGUGGAUCCUAUGCUUAGAAGGGCAGAGGAACUUCUUACAGCAAAAGGUAAGACUGAUGAUGGGUUUUUUCAUCCAGGUCUCUGAAUUUGUGAAUAAUGGAUAUGUAUUGGUAAAACCUUACAAGUAACUUUAGUAUUCUGUAACUGCUGGGUUAAGUGAUCAUUUUCUGAUGCUAAGCCCUUCACGUAACUUUUAUGAGAGCCAGUUUUGGCAUGUGCUUUAAAUACACCUUCAGCGAUUUUUGUAUGUUUUUAAGUAUUUUAUGGCAAAUAGAAUUUAACUGUUGAGACUUAGUUUUACUUAUUACCACUUUCUGAAAUUUCUGCUUCAUUAUCCUGCUUUCCCCCUGGAUAUUUCCAAUAUCUUGUUCGAAAUGUUCCAGAUGGAGUCUGGAGAGAAGAGAAAUUAAUAGAUGACGUGAAUUUAAGUUCAUUGUAGUUUUUAAAGGGUUGUAACUUUAAAUGCUUUUUUGCUUUAAGCUGUUUCCAUCUUACUAGAUGUGCAUGGUUAGCACAAGAACCUGUUGAAUCUGUUUAAAGUUGCAAGUGUGUAAUGAGCUUUCAUGGGGGUUUUGGUAUUUGCUUUUGGUAUUUUUCCACUGUAUAAUUGUAUUUUAUGCAGGAGUUAUUUCUUUUGGGGAAAAUAUAGGCCAGAGUGUUUUCAUGUUGUGUAAGCAGCUUUGUUUUUGUUCAUGUACCUUUAUGGCACAAUUUUGUAUAAUGGGUUUCAUCACAUAAAUAAAAUAGAUUUUUUUUUUCUUGUUCUAAGGAAAAAUCUCCAGGGUACUUAAAAUCUCAAGUAUAACAGCUUUAAACGAAAUAUAAAUAGGAGAAGAUAUGCGUGCUGCUACCAAAGGUGAAUUAAUAUGUUGAAAAUCUCCUCUCACAAAACAGCAUUACUUGGUUUGUAGAAACCUUGUCCCAUGUAUUGGAACACUCACCAGAAGACUUAACAAUUUCUAUCAGCAUGUAAAUAAGGCUCUGUAAUUAGCAGUCUUGUGUAUUGUUCAGCCUUUUGUGUGAUGAGUGGUAAAGGGACUCUAGUAGGUUUUCUCAGGAUUGAAGAUAAUGAUUCAAAGAUAAUGUACAAAGUGAAUAUAAAAAAGAAAAUUCAUUCUGAUCUUAGCAGUUGAUGAGUUUAUGCUUGGCCUCUUAGAUGCAAUUUAUUGUUUUCUGGUCACUGUGGCUUUCACAUGCUAACACCAAUCCCAAAUUAUCUCCUCUUGGUGCAGUACCUCACAUACAAUCUCACCAACAGGAAAUUCUGCCACAUGUGUCUGUGCUUCCAUAACCCCUACUUCAUGUCAAUGUCUCUAUAUUAGCUUUUCUUAGGGUGUCCCUAAAUUUAAUUUUGAUAGAACACAAACUACAUAAUUCCCAUUACAGAAUGAGGUAAUGCUUUCUGUGGAGCUAAAACAAUGCAUGGUACAUCAUUUACAAGGACUUGGGUCUGAUCUCAUCUAGAUAGGCAAGGAUUGCUGUGUUCCUUGUUGCAUUCACUUACGAGCUGAUUUUACAGGGCUCAGUACACAGCAGUAGGGGCUGGGAUAUCUUGUGUCAAAAUCAGGUCAAGGAACUUGAUCAGCUACAGUUCUCUUCCAAAGUGGGGACUGAUGUGGUGCAGUAUGUUCCAGGAAACUGGGAGUCAAAACUGAAAUUUCAGCUGUUAAUAACACAUGAAAUACAAUUCCAUACAAUUAUUUGUAUUGAAUGGUCACUAUUUUAAUAGUUGACAUGCAUGAGAAUCUGUACUGUGUUGACAUUUGAACAUACACUGCAGUUUAGAACAUCAAACAAUGUGAAAUGUGAUGCUGCAGCUGUAUUCUUUUGGCAGUAAUUCCAUCAUAAGGACUUCUACCAGAUUUCUACAUUUUGCCCCCUUUGCCUUAAUUUUGGUCAGUCUCUGCUUCUAACAUUAUAGUUAAAAUAACACUUAUAUUUUGUCAUGCUGUUUUGUAUUUCUUUGUACUUAUCAUAAGAAAUUAUGACUGUCUUAAGCCUGGUUCAGCAAACAUACCUCCAGUUUCUUUAGAUGAUUCUCUUUAUUACCAGAUUUGUUGCAACACUGUGUUUUCUCUUUUUUUUUUUACACAUGCCUAUCCCCCCCCACCCUGCAAGUAGAGCAUAUUUCUGGGCUGUAGCACAUCAGUGACAUCACUAGCCUUGUAAAAAAUUUGGGCAUUUUAAUAGUCAUAGAUUGUUGGUGACUUACAGCAAAGUUUUCUUGUGUCUGAGAAAUAUUUUCAAUAUUACAGUAUAUUAUAUACAACAGGCCAAA